AACGAACGCUGGCGGCAUGCCUAACACAUGCAAGUCGAACGAGCCCUUCGGGGUUAGUGGCGCACGGGUGCGUAACGCGUGGGAAUCUGCCCUUGGGUUCGGAAUAACAGUGAGAAAUUACUGCUAAUACCGGAUGAUGUCUUCGGACCAAAGAUUUAUCACCCAAGGAUGAGCCCGCGUAGGAUUAGCUAGUUGGUGGGGUAAUGGCCUACCAAGGCGACGAUCCUUAGCUGGUCUGAGAGGAUGAUCAGCCACACUGGGACUGAGACACGGCCCAGACUCCUACGGGAGGCAGCAGUGGGGAAUAUUGGACAAUGGGCGAAAGCCUGAUCCAGCAAUGCCGCGUGAGUGAUGAAGGCCUUAGGGUUGUAAAGCUCUUUUACCCGGGAUGAUAAUGACAGUACCGGGAGAAUAAGCUCCGGCUAACUCCGUG
This 433-nucleotide ribosomal RNA is filed under the name uncultured bacterium. RNAcentral describes it as "partial 16S ribosomal RNA". It matches the Rfam family "Bacterial small subunit ribosomal RNA", at positions 29 to 507 of the family's 1533-position model. The record is from RNAcentral.